AUGAACGCUAGCGGGAGGCCUAACACAUGCAAGCCGAGCGGUAGAGAGUAGCUUGCUACUUUUGAGAGCGGCGUACGGGUGCGUAACACGUGUGCAACCUGCCUUUAUCUGGAGAAUAGCCUUUCGAAAGGAAGAUUAAUGCUCCAUAACAUAUAGAAUGGCAUCAUUUAAUAUUGAAAGCUCCGGCGGAUAGAGAUGGGCACGCGCAAGAUUAGUUAGUUGGUGAGGUAACGGCUCACCAAGGCGAUGAUCUUUAGGGGGCCUGAGAGGGUGAUCCCCCACACUGGUACUGAGACACGGACCAGACUCCUACGGGAGGCAGCAGUGAGGAAUAUUGGACAAUGGGUGAAAGCCUGAUCCAGCCAUCCCGCGUGAAGGAUGACGGCCCUAUGGGUUGUAAACUUCUUUUGUAUAGGGAUAAACCUACCCUCGUGAGGGUAGCUGAAGGUACUAUACGAAUAAGCACCGGCUAACUCCGUGCCAGCCGCCGCGGUAA
This 496-nucleotide ribosomal RNA is filed under the name uncultured bacterium. RNAcentral describes it as "partial 16S ribosomal RNA". It matches the Rfam family "Bacterial small subunit ribosomal RNA", at positions 29 to 523 of the family's 1533-position model. The record is from RNAcentral.